GACGAACGCUGGCGGCGUGCUUAACACAUGCAAGUCGAACGGAAAGGCCCUGCUUUUGUGGGUGCUCGAGUGGCGAACGGGUGAGUAGCACGUGAGUAACCUGCCCUUGACUUUGGGAUAACUUCAGGAAACUGGGGCUAAUACCGGAUAGGAGCUCCUGCUGCAUGGUGGGGGUUGGAAAGUUUCGGCGGUUGGGGAUGGACUCGCGGCUUAUCAGCUUGUUGGUGGGGUAGUGGCUUACCAAGGCUUUGACGGGUAGCCGGCCUGAGAGGGUGACCGGCCACAUUGGGACUGAGAUACGGCCCAGACUCCUACGGGAGGCAGCAGUGGGGAAUAUUGCACAAUGGGCGGAAGCCUGAUGCAGCAACGCCGCGUGCGGGAUGACGGCCUUCGGGUUGUAAACCGCUUUCGCCUGUGACGAAGCGUGAGAGACGGUAAUGGGUAAAGAAGCACCGGCUAACUACGUG
This 467-nucleotide ribosomal RNA is filed under the name uncultured bacterium. RNAcentral describes it as "partial 16S ribosomal RNA". It matches the Rfam family "Bacterial small subunit ribosomal RNA", at positions 28 to 507 of the family's 1533-position model. The record is from RNAcentral.